AUAUCUUCAUUGUUGAUAAUCAUUUUUUUUAUAAGAUUGUUGAUUAUCAGUUGAUCCCACUGUUGUAGGAGAGCAUUGGUGGCAGUCAGCUAGGCUCUGCAAAUCAAGGUGAUACCCACAAUGGCAAUCGUUUGAAUACGAGAUAUCCAGCCUUUACAGACUGACCUACAAAUCAAAGGGCGAGUCUGCAAGGUGUGGAGAGUGAAGAAAUACAGACCUGUUCCUAGAAACAAUGGUCUUCAGUUUGUUUUAGUUAAUGAGAAGAACGAGGGAAUCCAAGGAUCUUUUCUAGAAGCAUACUACACCACAAUAAGGACUGGUAUAAUAAUCUGAAGUUUACCUUAUCUAUUCGAAAUGAGAUGUGGGAAAGGAAAGCAAAUCACUUCUACACACAAAAAGACAUUGAUCAGGUCCGGGCCGAGUGGGCAAAGUAUGUCAGCCAAUUUCAACCAAGCUAGUGUGUCGAGAAGAUUCUAAUUUUGGACAUGCAUCAUCUAUAACCCAUAUUAACUAGUUAUGCUGACAGGACCCGCCCCGGAUU
Rosa chinensis is the source of this 541-nucleotide long non-coding RNA. RefSeq lists it as uncharacterized. NCBI's taxonomy places the organism in Eukaryota, Viridiplantae, Streptophyta, Magnoliopsida, Rosales, Rosaceae. The record is from RefSeq and is a predicted model, not a curated record. The transcript is spliced from 4 exons.